AACGAACGCUGGCGGCAUGCCUAACACAUGCAAGUCGAACGAGACCUUCGGGUCUAGUGGCGCACGGGUGCGUAACGCGUGGGAACCUGCCCUUAGGUUCGGAAUAACUCCCCGAAAGGGGUGCUAAUACCGGAUAAUGUCUUCGGACCAAAGAUUUAUCGCCUUUGGAUGGGCCCGCGUUGGAUUAGCUAGUUGGUAGGGUAAAAGCCUACCAAGGCGACGAUCCAUAGCUGGUCUGAGAGGAUGAUCAGCUACACUGGGACUGAGACACGGCCCAGACUCCUACGGGAAGCAGCAGUGGGGAAUAUUGGACAAUGGGCGAAAGCCUGAUCCAGCAAUGCCGCGUGAGUGAUGAAGGCCUUAGGGUUGUAAAGCUCUUUUACCCGGGAUGAUAAUGACAGUACCGGGAGAAUAAGCUCCGGCUAACUCCGUG
This 433-nucleotide ribosomal RNA is filed under the name uncultured bacterium. RNAcentral describes it as "partial 16S ribosomal RNA". It matches the Rfam family "Bacterial small subunit ribosomal RNA", at positions 29 to 507 of the family's 1533-position model. The record is from RNAcentral.